AUACUGGUUGGCUAGAGUAUGGGAGAGGAUGGUAGAAUUCCAGGUGUAGCGGUGAAAUGCGUAGAGAUCUGGAGGAAUACCGAUGGCGAAGGCAGCCAUCUGGCCUAAUACUGACGCUGAGGUACGAAAGCAUGGGGAGCAAACAGGAUUAGAUACCCUGGUAGUCCAUGCCGUAAACGAUGUCUACUAGCCGUUGGGGCCCUUGAGGCUUUAGUGGCGCAGCUAACGCGAUAAGUAGACCGCCUGGGGAGUACGGUCGCAAGACUAAAACUCAAAUGAAUUGACGGGGGCCCGCACAAGCGGUGGAGCAUGUGGUUUAAUUCGAUGCAACGCGAAGAACCUUACCUGGCCUUGACAUACAGAGAACUUUCCAGAGAUGGAUUGGUGCCUUCGGGAACUCUGAUACAGGUGCUGCAUGGCUGUCGUCAGCUCGUGUCGUGAGAUGUUGGGUUAAGUCCCGCAACGAGCGCAACCCUUUUCCUUAUUUGCCAGCACUUCGGGUGGGAACUUUAAGGAUACUGCCAGUGACAAACUGGAGGAAGGCGGGGACGACGUCAAGUCAUCAUGGCCCUUACGGCC
This 579-nucleotide ribosomal RNA is filed under the name uncultured Acinetobacter sp. RNAcentral's name for it is "bacterial SSU rRNA". It matches the Rfam family "Bacterial small subunit ribosomal RNA", at positions 630 to 1209 of the family's 1533-position model. Lineage: Bacteria; Pseudomonadati; Pseudomonadota; Gammaproteobacteria; Moraxellales; Moraxellaceae. The record is from RNAcentral.